AUCCUAAAAAGCUAGCCCAACUCCCCGAAAAACACACCCUUUAAAACUAAUUCCUGUAAAACACCCAACAAACCAUUUUACCUCCCCAGUACCCGGGCGACAGAAAAGGAGACCCAGGCGCAAUAGAAAAAGUACCGUAAGGGAAAGCUGAAAGAGAAAUGAAACAACUACCCCAAGCUACGAAAAGCAGAGAUAACCCCUCGUACCUUUUGCAUCAUGAUCUAGCCAGUAUGCCUGAGCAAAGUGUACUUUAGUUCAGCCCCCCGAAACUAGACGAGCUACUUCAAGACAGCCUAUGUUGGGCAAACCCGUCUCUGUCGCAAAAGAGUGGGAUGAUCUUCAAGUAGAGGUGACAAACCUAUCGAGCCUAGUCAUAGCUGGUUGUCUGAGAAGUGUAUAUGAGUUCAGCCUCCCGGCUCCCCCAUCCAAGACAUUUAUGUCUCCCAAGACCAAGUGUGACCGAGAGAGUUAGUCAAAGAGGGUACAGCCCCUUUGAAAAAGGACACAACCUCACCGGGAGACUAAAGAUCAUA
This 533-nucleotide ribosomal RNA is filed under the name Diaphus theta (California headlightfish). Its description in RNAcentral is "partial 16S ribosomal RNA". It matches the Rfam family "Bacterial large subunit ribosomal RNA", at positions 433 to 1050 of the family's 2925-position model. The record is from RNAcentral. Lineage: Eukaryota; Metazoa; Chordata; Actinopteri; Myctophiformes; Myctophidae.